GGGGAUGUAAUGGUUUCGACAUUACACCAGAAAAAUAGAUAGCAAGUAGUGGAUUCUCGUUGGCCACUUAAAAAACGAGAAAAUAAAAUAAACGCUGAUAAACAAGAAUUAGCAUACGCUGCCUAAGUUGUAGUGUCAUCUUACUAAAUAGCCUACUGAUUUAGAUAAGGUGUCGAAAUAAAGUAGGAAACGAAGCUGUUUUUUCUUUAGAAAUAGUGGGUAUUUUAUAAAGAUAUAUUUAUUUUUAGCCUGUUUGCCGGCGAAAAGUAAAUGAAAAUAAAAGACAAAAUAAACUUGUAGAAGUCUAUUUGGAAAGUGUUAUGGACAGGAGUUCGACUCUCCUCAUCUCCACCA
This 354-nucleotide transfer-messenger RNA is filed under the name Clostridia. RNAcentral describes it as "CAG-269 sp001916005 Standard tmRNA". It matches the Rfam family "transfer-messenger RNA". Rfam says of the family: Bacterial tmRNA, also known as 10Sa RNA or SsrA, is named for its dual tRNA and mRNA-like properties. Its role is to liberate the mRNA from a stalled ribosome. To accomplish this part of the tmRNA is used as a reading frame that ends in a translation stop signal. Lineage: Bacteria; Bacillati; Bacillota. The record is from RNAcentral. RNAcentral also lists the same sequence under 1 other name.